UAAUUUAAUAAUUUAAAUUAACAUAUUAGUAAAAUAAGUUAUUUGCAUCAUUAAUUAUUAUGUUGUAAUGGGUAAAGUUGAGAAUUUUUUAUUUUUCUUGCCAUACAUUAAUAUUUAUAAAUUAUUUUUCAUUAAUAUAAUAUAGAUUAAGUUAAUAAAGCAAUAAUUUUGUGUGUGUGUGUGUAUACAUAUGAGUUGAGUCAACAACAAAGAUAUAAUUGAUGUGGUUCAUGGCUAUUAAAUAUCUAAAGCUGGUCUCAGGUUCGAGACUUGUAGCCAUCAUUUCAAUUUUUUUUUUGAAGGAACUAGAAUACUCGUUCUAGUCCUAGCUGGGUUAUUGAUUCAUCGUUUACUCAUCUAGUUAUGGUUUCAAGUCACGGUCGCGGAUAACGGAAACAAGCCUAUAACAGUCUCAACGUAACGGUAAAGGUUUGAUGCUACACAAAUUUUUUUGAAAAUUUUG
Molecule: unclassified non-coding RNA, 463 nt
Filed under: Hevea brasiliensis (rubber tree)
Lineage: Eukaryota; Viridiplantae; Streptophyta; Magnoliopsida; Malpighiales; Euphorbiaceae
Source: RNAcentral